CUGUUCGGCAGAGGAGCGCGGGAAAAUUUUCACUAAAAUAUUAAUAUUUAAAAAACUAUAAAAUUCACAAAGACCAAAAGUCAUAGCACACCAUUCCAGAUCCGGCCGCACAAAAUGAGGUAACAUAUAUGAAGCUUGUCUCAAAACUGCGGGGCGAGAUUCGCUGCAAAAUUUCAGGCGGAAACUGGAGAAUAAUAAUAAUAACUAGAAAGCGAAAAUUUCUGAAGAAAUUUUAUGUGUGCCUAUGCCGCUGCUAAUCUGUGUAGUUUGCCAUUCUUACGGCUACAGAGAGCAAAACUCAGCAGAGCAGCCAUUCUCCACCAUGAAUUAUGAUAAAAACAAACACCGCUCGCGCCUCACAGAUGACAGCUUACAGUUUUGGGUAAAGAUGAAGUGACUUUGUACAGCCCCGAUUUGCAGACGCUGUGCACACAGGUUCAUGAGCAGAAGUCCCAUUGUACCACGGCAGACCUGACAAUGUUUGCAUGAACACGCUUUGAAGCAUUACGUUAUGGACCACUUUUCACACAUGGUUGGUGUACCCAAACAGCCGGCUGUAGCUUUUCAACUCACAGCCCGACACACACCCAAAAACAGCCGAGAGCACAGACUACGC
Molecule: long non-coding RNA, 616 nt
Organism: Oreochromis aureus
Lineage: Eukaryota; Metazoa; Chordata; Actinopteri; Cichliformes; Cichlidae
Source: Ensembl